AAGACUAUACUUUCAGGGAUCAUUUCUAUAGUUCGUUAUUGAUGCAUUUGUUUCCAAAAUAACAGGGCAAUAUGAAUGGCAAGAAAUGAGAGGAGUGAAGAUUGUAUUUAAGCAGAUACCCAUCCUAAACAGCAGACCUGCUCUGACCUGUGACUUUAGUACAGAUUCGAAUUUGGAUUUCCAUCAUUCUGA
This is a small nucleolar RNA of Rattus norvegicus (Norway rat), 192 nucleotides long. Ensembl annotates it as small nucleolar RNA U3. The record is from Ensembl. Lineage: Eukaryota; Metazoa; Chordata; Mammalia; Rodentia; Muridae.